Brassica napus (rape) is the source of this 1470-nucleotide long non-coding RNA. RefSeq lists it as uncharacterized. NCBI's taxonomy places the organism in Eukaryota, Viridiplantae, Streptophyta, Magnoliopsida, Brassicales, Brassicaceae. The record is from RefSeq and is a predicted model, not a curated record. The transcript is spliced from 3 exons.
GUCAUAUUCGCAUAUGUCUCGCCUAAUCCCUAAUUUCGUCUGAAGCGCAGUUCGUCCGAUUCCAUGAGACGAAUCAUCAUCGAUCUCAUCUCGCUGCUGCUGAAUCCGUAUGAGACGAUCCGUUCGAUCUGUUCUCUGGAGCCAGCGUACCAACCGUAUUUGAAGUUCGAAUCUCCGCCGUUCUUCCUCGCCAUGGCCUCCGUGAAGAUGCGAAAGGCUAGAGACUUGGCUCUCGUGGUGAUAGCGUUCGGAGAUUUCUUACGUAUAGUGACGAUCGUGGUGGCGUUAGCGAUAGUGGCGCUUAAGCCGGAGAGGAAACACGUGGUAGUGACGUCGUGCUCUUAGUUCCCUUCGCGGAGAAGAAUCGUUGAGUCGGUCGAGGAGGAGGAGGCAUCCUAACUAAUUGAGUUCUCUGUGGUUUAUUAUUUUUUAUGUGUGGAAAGGAUCUCACUUUGAGUAAUAGCUCCAGCAAAAGUUGCUAUUAGUCUCGAUUCUGGAGAGUUUCUCGCCGUCAAACAGAAGCUGGAAAAGAAAGUUAAGCUUCUCAAGAAUCACUCACAUCCAAAUAUAGUUGUAAGCAAUAAAAGCUGCUUUUGUAUUUCUUUCAAUAUUUGAUAGACCCACCACGUUUUUGUUUCUUUUAUUCUUUUGUGGGCACUAAAGGUAUUUACGCACAGUGAGAGAAUGAAACUUUGAACAUCUUCUUCCAUAUCAUACUAUAUUCCAGAGCGCCGAAAACCAUGGCGAAUCCUCAAGUUCUUUUGUAUGAGUUGAACGUUGAUUGGUGCAAGAAAAAUCGCAGUGGCCAAACGUCGGUGUCAGUGUUUUGGAUAGAUUCGCCAACCUCCUUUAUAUAUGGUUCCUUUAGUUGAUUGCAAGCUACUUGUAUGAUUAAUGAUUGUUAGUUAACUUUUUAGACACAGAAACCUCCUCUAUAAUGUAUGUGUUUUUAACAACUUAGCCACUACCAACCACCACUUCCAGACUUUGGAGGUCAUGUAAGUACUAUUAAUUAUUUUGCAGGGAAGGGAUAACCAGCCUGGUGAUGACAUGCUUGGAGCUGGAGCGGUUAAAACCAAUCCUACUGAUAGGUUUAACAGUGCAUCGCCUGAGAAAAUACCUGAUGGUGAUAACGCUGGAAUGCUUUAAGAAAGUGCUGUCGACCCUGCUCUUCCAACUGUUCUUUCUCGAUAAAUCAACAGAUAAGAAAUUAAGGAUGAACCACUAAUGGAGGAGAAGGUUGAAGGGAAGAAGCCACACGUGACUUAACUUCACAGGCUUAGGAGAGCCAAAGGUCAGAAUGGACAACCUCUACUCUUUCGCAUUUCUGUUUUUAAAUGUUUCCACUUUGACUUUGUCUACUGUUUCCUGAAAUUAAACCAGCUGCUGGUUGUGUUUUAACUUUUAGUUGUAGUUGUUACAAGGGAAAGGUAUUCGUUAUAUGUUUAUAAAUAAAAGUUCCUUUAAAUC